Molecule: ribosomal RNA, 449 nt
Filed under: uncultured bacterium
Lineage: Bacteria
Description: partial 16S ribosomal RNA
Rfam family: Bacterial small subunit ribosomal RNA
Source: RNAcentral
AACGAACGCUGGCGGUAUGCCUAAUACAUGCAAGUCGAGCGAGAUCUUCGGAUCUAGUGGCGCACGGGUGCGUAACGCGUGGGAAUCUGCCCUUGGGUUCGGAAUAACAGUUAGAAAUGACUGCUAAUACCGGAUGAUGACGUAAGUCCAAAGAUUUAUCGCCCAAGGAUGAGCCCGCGUAGGAUUAGCUAGUUGGUGAGGUAAAGGCUCACCAAGGCUACGAUCCUUAGCUGGUCUGAGAGGAUGAUCAGCCACACUGGGACUGAGACACGGCCCAGACUCCUACGGGAGGCAGCAGUAGGGAAUAUUGGACAAUGGGCGAAAGCCUGAUCCAGCAAUGCCGCGUGAGCGAUGAAGGCCUUAGGGUUGUAAAGCUCUUUUACCCGGGAUGAUAAUGACAGUACCGGGAGAAUAAGCCCCGGCUAACUCCGUGCCAGCCGCCGCGGUAA